AGCAGAGGCUGCUUGGAGCCCACGGCCCUCUGAGAUGCUGCGACCCCAACGAGGGGCUGUGUGUGUGUGUGGGGCCGGGGCUGGGCUGGUGCUCCGAGGGCACCUCGCAGCCAUUGCCACAGCUGCACCCGCAUUCCCUCCCUCCACGUCUGCACCCACAUUCCUCCCCUCCACGCCUGCCCUUAUCUCACAGCUGUCACAGCGGUGGGUUCAGCCCCGCACCCCCCGCGCUGUGCAGUAUGAGGCUGUUGGAGCCCUUCUCCCCCACAGAACAGCCGUGUGCCCCCCCGGUUGUGGGGCCGGACGCGUCGUGCCGUGGGGCUGAGCCUCUCCCGGCGCUUUCUCUUCCCCGCCGUCCCCCCCGUUUUGCUCAGCUCCGCUCCGCACCGUUUCCCUCCGCUGCCGACGUGGGCGCUCUGCCCUCCCUCCCGCAUCUGGGCGAGGAGGAGCGCCGUGCGGGAGCGGCUCAACCCCUCCGGCCCCGCGGAGCCCUCCGCGUCUCAUUCUCCUCCGGAUCGCAGCGCUGUGGCCGCGGAGCGCGUUGUGCUGCUGCGUUACGGCGCUGCUGAGCGCCUCCCGGGCCGGGCGGACCCUUCCCGGCACAGCCCCGUCUGCCGCC
Molecule: long non-coding RNA, 619 nt
Filed under: Gallus gallus (chicken)
Lineage: Eukaryota; Metazoa; Chordata; Aves; Galliformes; Phasianidae
Source: RNAcentral